Non-coding RNA from Prunus avium (sweet cherry), 1254 nucleotides. The record is from RefSeq and is a predicted model, not a curated record. Lineage: Eukaryota; Viridiplantae; Streptophyta; Magnoliopsida; Rosales; Rosaceae.
UAAAAGCAGUGGUAGAGAACAAAUUCCCAAAAGAAGAGAUCAGAUUUGGAUGAUCAUCAUUGGAAAUUAUAUGAUGGGGAAGAUGAAAGUGGAAAAGGUAGCAGUAAGUUUAUGGUGGAAGGUCCACGGAAGUACGAGUACUUGAGAAAAAUAGAAGUGCCAAGCAUGCCUUAAAGACUGUUUUGGUCAAUUGAGAAAGCAGAGGACCAUAAGAAAUUUGUUAUCUCAACCACCCAUUACUUGGAAGUUUGAAUCCUCCAAGAUUCUCCUCCCACUAGGAUCAUGUUAACAAAGGCUAUUUCCUACUAUAAAUACAGAACAUCUUCCUUCUUCUUGCCACUACAAACCGAACAGAGUAACAUUUGUACUUUCUUCAUCUCAUCACCUAAAGCCCUGUGCUUAAUAUAUAUAUAUUUUUUUUGUGUCGAAGAAGAGUUAUGGGAUGCAACAGGGGAGGCAACAGGCAGAAAAAAUCCUCAUUCGAAUUAAUCAGCUUUUUCAAAUCGAGGAGGCCUCGCAGAGGAGAUGACAUGUGGGAGGAUUGUAAUAUGAGUGCAGGAAGGGUGUGGCCUAGUGACGAGGACAGACAUGGGUGGGUAGCUGAACCCCACAUCGACCGCAACGCUACUGCUUUCAUUCAGAAAUAUCUACAAGUGCAGCCUUCAGAGUUUCUUCUCGACUCUUCUUCUCCCCUCAACCCAAAACCAACUCCAGAUCUGUAAAUCUCCUUGGUUCCAGGGGAUCUCCCCUGGAAUCACCCCCUUCGGUUAAUAAUCCGGGUGUUGUGGGGAGGUUUUCCCUCCCAACUUUUGUUGGAUUUUGUCUGCUCUUCGCUUUUGCAAGAUCUCUCUGUAUUGGAGGUGGAGCUAUUGAUUUUGGUGGAUCUACUUAUAUUGUGCUCGGGGAUCAAGGGGGAUUAGGAGAUGAUUCUUUGGAAUGUCCUAGUGAAAGUUGAGUGAUUAUGCCCUCCACUCUUGGGGUGUUUCCUGUCCCAUGAAGUUUGAGAGAUUGUUCUCUGUCUUGAUCUUAUUAAAGCACUAGUUGUUGCAAAAUUAGGGUCCUCCUCAUUUGUAACUCCUUGUUAGCUGGGUUUCAAGUUGUAUAUUUGUUUUCUAUCUUGUAAUACUUGUGCUUAGUUGUUGUUGUUGUUACAGUCUCUGUAUUGCAAGAACCUCCUUUCGGGGGUGUGUUCUUACUGUUGUAUCCUGGGUUUGUGGCUUGUUCUUCAAAUGAAUCUCUACUGUUUCGCCAAAA